UACAGAGGGUGCGAGCGUUAAUCGGAAUUACUGGGCGUAAAGCGUGCGUAGACGGUUAUUUAAGUCGGGUGUGAAAGCCCCGGGCUCAACCUGGGAAUUGCAUUCGAGACUGAAUAGCUAGGGUACGGUAGAGGGAAGCGGAAUUUCCGGUGUAGCGGUAAAAUGCGUAGAUAUCGGAAGGAACAUCAGUGGCGAAAGCGGCUUCCUGGACCAGUACCGACGUUCAGGCACGAAAGCGUGGGGAGCAAACAGG
This 253-nucleotide ribosomal RNA is filed under the name uncultured bacterium. Its description in RNAcentral is "partial 16S ribosomal RNA". It matches the Rfam family "Bacterial small subunit ribosomal RNA", at positions 524 to 776 of the family's 1533-position model. The record is from RNAcentral.